This 1188-nucleotide long non-coding RNA is filed under the name Helianthus annuus (common sunflower). Its description in RNAcentral is "sRNA HanXRQr2_Chr10g0442071". Lineage: Eukaryota; Viridiplantae; Streptophyta; Magnoliopsida; Asterales; Asteraceae. The record is from RNAcentral.
AUGAAUACCGUUGUUGAGAUGAGGACUUGAUCAAUCCGGAUGUCAAAUUUUAUUAAAUUGAGUUAUGACUUUUUGUUGACAAAACCAUCAAAACCCUAAAGCAGCCGUCACCUCUCUCUCACUCUAACGACAACAGCAAACUAAUUUCUUCUUCUACUAUUUUCUUUUCUUUCCCUUUUUUUUUAAACAAAGUGAAGGGUUGCGAGAAUGUAAUAGUCGGGUGAAGUAACGAUGGAUGUGGUGGUUAUUGGUUGUUGACCGGUUGUGGCUCACAGUGAUCAGUAAGUCGGAGGUAGUGCGGUGGAGGUUGAAUGGUAGUUGACGGUGUUAGAGAAUGACGGUUGUGGGUGGGGUUUUAGUGUGUGUAGGUUUGAGUGGAAAAGGGUGGUGUAGCCGAGUACCAGGUGUAGGGGUGGACUGGUGAUGGAGAGAUGGUGAUGGAGAGAUGGUGACAGAACUGUGUUGACCGGAACAGUGGUGGUGCGGCUGUGACCGACGUUGAUGAUCGGAAGAACGGGUUCAAUGUGGUUCGGUUUAGUAUGGGUUGGUAGUAGAUCUAUUAGAGCCGAUACAAAUUCAAAACAUUUCAAGACUAAACGGCAACAAGAAACUUGAUGGUUUAGUCAGCGGUGGUUUUGGUCGAAGUCAGUUCACCGGAUACGCGGCGGCGCCGGAAUAACUUGCCGGAACCCUAAAUGAUGGCCGGAAGUUAGCCGGAGACGGAAUGAUUCAAAACAGAAAAUGUAUAUGUAUUUAAUUUGUUAUUAUAUACGCUGAUAAAUCCGUUUUCUACCCCUUUCUUUUUAAAAAAAUAAUAAAUACACUGGUCGGACGAAACCGCCGGAGUAACGACCCCGGAAAACGGUGACUUACCGGCGAAUUUACUAAAUACGCCGGAAGACUUGAACUCGCGUUCAAGAUUUAAAAUCGCCGGAAAUUAAUUUCGCCGGAAACUUGCCGGAAAACCCAAAUUCGCCGGAACUUUCAAUAAAAUCGCUGUAUUCAAAAUAAAAUCGCUGUAUUAAAAAAAAAAUCGCCCAGAAACUUCAAAAAACUCGACUAAAACCAUCUGAUUUGAGCUGAAACCUCUAAAAAUGAUAUGAAAUGACUAUGAAUCUUUCAAUUAAUGCUAGUCUCAGCUCUCAAUCAGCAAACAAAUACUUUAAACCUUUUGAAGACAAGAUUUUU